RNAcentral lists this ribosomal RNA (253 nucleotides) under uncultured bacterium. RNAcentral describes it as "partial 16S ribosomal RNA". It matches the Rfam family "Bacterial small subunit ribosomal RNA", at positions 524 to 776 of the family's 1533-position model. The record is from RNAcentral.
UACGUAGGGGGCAAGCGUUGUCCGGAAUCAUUGGGCGUAAAGAGCGUGUAGGCGGCCCGAUAAGUCCGCUGUGAAAGUCCAGGGCUCAACCCUGGGAUGCCGGUGGAUACUGUCGGGCUCGAGUCCGGAAGAGGCGAGUGGAAUUCCUGGUGUAGCGGUGAAAUGCGCAGAUAUCAGGAGGAACACCAAUGGCGAAGGCAGCUCGUUGGGACGUGACUGACGCUGAGACGCGAAAGCGUGGGGAGCAAACAGG